This 428-nucleotide ribosomal RNA is filed under the name uncultured bacterium. RNAcentral's name for it is "partial 16S ribosomal RNA". It matches the Rfam family "Bacterial small subunit ribosomal RNA", at positions 354 to 796 of the family's 1533-position model. The record is from RNAcentral.
GUAGGGAAUAUUGCGCAAUGGGGGAAACCCUGACGCAGCGACGCCGCGUGAGUGGUGAAGGCCUUCGGGUCGUAAAGCUCUGUUGCAGGGGAAUAAAAAAAUGAAGGUACCCUGUGAGGAAGGAUCGGCUAACUUCGUGCCAGCAGCCGCGGUAAGACGAGGGAUCCUAGCGUUGCUCGGAAUCAUUGGGCGUAAAGAGGGCGUAGGUGGCUUGGUAAGUCAGGUGUGAAAGCCCAGGGCUCAACCCUGGAAGUGCAUUUGAUACUGCUGGUCUUGAGUGUCGGAGAGGUUACCGGAAUACCUGGUGUAGUGGUGAAAUACGUAGAUAUCAGGUGGAACACCGGAGGCGAAGGCGGGUAACUGGACGAACACUGACACUGAGGCCCGAAAGCGUGGGGAUCAAACAGGAUUAGAUACCCGGGUAGUCC